RNAcentral lists this long non-coding RNA (248 nucleotides) under Gossypium barbadense (sea-island cotton). Its description in RNAcentral is "long non-coding RNA (GBAR_LNC007684)". Lineage: Eukaryota; Viridiplantae; Streptophyta; Magnoliopsida; Malvales; Malvaceae. The record is from RNAcentral.
CGAAAUUCUAUAAAUCCUAAAAAACAAAAAACCCAAAACGUUCAUAUUAAACAAAAAUAAAGUCCAUAGUACUUAAAAUAAAAAUAUCCAGAGUUGUCGUCCAGUCCUAAGUUGGAGGAUCUCAUGAUUGCUGAAAUGAUAGAACUCACAAUUAAUGUGCUCUAAACCCCUUCACAAACAGUGAACAAAUACAACGAUUACAUCUCUGGAGGGUCUUGAUUCGCAACCCCUUAGCACUAUUAUUUGCC